CUCUGCCACGCACCCUCUCCCCUCGCAUUCAUCCCCCAGAUCCACCAGUCUGCUUCUCGGCCAUGGCAUCACGGCCGGUUUUCUCGCCGGCGCGCGCGUGCGUGCUUCGAUGCGCGCCGCUCCGUCGAGCUGGCCGGACCGUGGCGCGCGUGUGGACCGUGUAUCCGCUACCAAAUCUCCCCUCCGCUCCCGAAUCUAAUCCCCCAAAUCUCUCCUCAGCUCCCGAAUCAAAUUCCCAUCACCUCCGCCACCACCCCACCUACUCCCACAGCCGUCGCGAGCCACGAGCGCGAGCGGGGCGAUGGCCAAUCCUCUGCUUCUCCUCCAUUCAUCGUGCACGCCCUGGGACGAUGCCGACCGACAGAUCUAGGGCGACGACGAACCCUAGCCGCAACGGCUUGUUGGUGCGGCUGCGACGCAUUUGAUACUCGCCCCGAGCUCCCUCCUCCUCCGUUGUUGUGGCCGCCUUGGGACGAUAUUCGCCGCAUGUGACUGCUGUGUUGGGAACCGGUCCGGCCAAGGGGAAGCCGGGUUCCCAGCCAACGCAGCGUCCGGCGAAGGGGCUCUUCCUGCGGCCCGAUUGCGCUCACAACGUCCCCGUCACCAAGUUCAAUCAAAAGACUGGCAAGCCUCUCAAGUGUAAAGAAAAUGGCACGCUCUCAAGUCUAAGAUUGAUACAGAGCGGUGUAUGCAUGUGCCAAACUGAAACCAUAUGUGUUACGUAGUAGUUGUUCAUCUCUGACACGAGCUGCCCUGCAAUCAAAAUAGGUUGCAUCUAUUCUUGCUAGUAUUUUAUUUAUCUCCUUCCUCAUCUGUGACACCAGCUGUUGUGCAUGGAAUCAGGGAAUUCUUGCUCCGCUCGGAAGGAGUUAUCAUUGCCGUGGGAGUCUCUGACCUCUUCUUCUACUACCUAUUGCUGCUGCUGCUGGGUGUCUGUAGCUACAGGAUGUCCAUGGAGAAGAUGGCCAUUGGACUAUAGGGGAGCGAGAGGGCUGUCACCAAGAAGGAAGGCAUUGACUUUGCCAAGGAGUAUGGAUGUCUAUCUGGAAUGCAGCGCAAAGACCAAAGCGAAUGUUUAGUAGUGGUUUGAAGAGGAAUCAAUGAUGCCGACCUCCUUGCAGAGUUGUGCCAGGUACCAAAUGAUGACCUACUUGCACAGUUGUGAUAGGUGUCGUGCGUCUUGUGUUACUACAUACAUCUGUCGUGAAGUACAUGGUUCCAGAACUAUGGUAACCCGUAGUUUUCUCUACUGGUGAUAGUAGGAUGAUGGAAACAUCACUACUGAAUGCAGUUCCUGUUUCUUCAACUAAUCAUCAUAUCCUUCGGUGGAGGUGACCCAUGUGAUGGUGAUUCGCUCCAGCAGUUCCGGUCUGGCAGUGGUGGUGCUACACUGCUACUGCUCCUAUGAUGGCUACGCAUUGGUAGGCUCGGCUGCCUCCCUUUGCUGUCGCUGUGAUGGUGAAGCUCAGCCUAGGCUACAACCACUUCCGAUGAGCUCCUCAGAUCAGGAUCUAAUGUUGUUGGGGUGGCUGCUAUUGUGACCAUGAUCAGAAGAAGCUUGGAGAUGUGCACAAUAGUUUUAGUUGAUGUUGCCACCAUGUUUUGGUGCAUGUGUAUUUCUUUUUGAUUGUAUGCAAACUUGAUGGAUCAUGCAGACGUGUAUGUGCUGUUGUGAGUUUCAUUGAGUGAUUUCUGGAUUUGAUCAUUUAAUUGAGAGAACUAUUGAUUGUUUGUUGUUGAAAUGUGUAAAGGAAAUCUGUGAAUGAAAAGGCUGAA
Triticum dicoccoides is the source of this 1776-nucleotide long non-coding RNA. RefSeq lists it as uncharacterized. The transcript has 7 exons. The record is from RefSeq and is a predicted model, not a curated record. Lineage: Eukaryota; Viridiplantae; Streptophyta; Magnoliopsida; Poales; Poaceae.